GGGCACAUGGUGUAGUUGGUUAUCACAUCCGCUUAGCAUUGAAUAUUCCUUCGAGGGCUGCGGGGGGUGCUGGGUUCAAUUCCCAGUGUGUCCA
Non-coding RNA from Lentinus tigrinus ALCF2SS1-7, 94 nucleotides. Lineage: Eukaryota; Fungi; Basidiomycota; Agaricomycetes; Polyporales; Polyporaceae. The record is from the annotation of a GenBank genome assembly.